RNAcentral lists this long non-coding RNA (304 nucleotides) under Elaeis guineensis (African oil palm). Its description in RNAcentral is "long non-coding RNA (EGUI_LNC080227)". Lineage: Eukaryota; Viridiplantae; Streptophyta; Magnoliopsida; Arecales; Arecaceae. The record is from RNAcentral.
GGGUCAUUGCCUCUCCAUCCAAGAGAAUGGCAAGAAGGGCCAUUGCAUUAGGGAAGAGAGUAGAUUUUACAUUCUUUGAGAAAUACCAUUUCUUAAUUGGAACAUGGCUUGACAGAAUGGGGUAAAAGAAUUUUUGCUGCUUAAAUAUCCCUAUGUACCUUAAGUUGAUUAGGAAGUUUUAUACAAAUCUGAGGAGAGGAGUAGCUGAGGUAACUACUAUCGUGAAGGGAGUUCAUUUCGAUGUUUUUGAGGAAAGCCUAGCUAGAGUCUUUGAUUUACCCCUAAGAGGUGCUGUCCCCAAGAG